Molecule: long non-coding RNA, 1319 nt
Organism: Artibeus jamaicensis (Jamaican fruit-eating bat)
Lineage: Eukaryota; Metazoa; Chordata; Mammalia; Chiroptera; Phyllostomidae
Exons: 5
Source: RefSeq, a predicted model, not a curated record
GACCCCCAGCGACCCUUCCGUACACUACAUUUCCCAUCACCCUUUUCUUAACAUCGCGAGAGUUCCAGCGAGACUGCAGGGAAGACUUGCGCGCUGGCUUGGUUUGGUCUUUUCUCCCAGACCGGCCGCGUGGUUGGGAGCCAUGGUGUGUUCUAUCCCGGUCCAGCGCGGCAAGCAGCUACAGGCCUUUGGCAGGCCUGCCUUUGGCAUGUGCAGAGAUAGAAGCAGACCUGCAGGUUGAAGCUUCAAAGUAUUGAGUGGGGCCCCGAAGUGCGUAAGAAUGGGUGGGUGGAGGCAGGAUCUGGGUGGGCACCAGAACCGAGAAAGCCAAGAUGGUGUGCAGGCCUGGCACAUACAGCAGCCGACACUUCCUUCUGAAGUUGAGUUCAAUUCUGUGAAUGGUGGCAUAAAUGAGAAUCCGGAAAUGAAGGGCUGCCAGUGUGAUCUGGGGGCCACUAGGUGUCACUGUUUGAACCCCAAAUGGAUACCCCUGCUUACAGGGUGAAAGGGAAUCUUGGAAAAGGAGUUUUGGUUGCCUGGGAUUCAGAAAUGUUACAGGUUGAGCUGAGGAUGAUUUCAAGUUAUCCCUGUCUGAAAGGACAUCUUUUGUGAAGAGUCCUGACUUGCUGAGGCUCAGCUUUUUAAAUCCCAGUCCUGAGAGUAAAUACCUUAACAUUGUUUCUAUUAGAAUGAAAAGUAUGUUUUGCACGCUUCUCUUUUAGGUUAAGGACAUUGGCUGUGAACUUGGAAAAUCCAAGUCACAUGAAAACUGUCAUCCUAAAAUGUCCUCCAGAUGACAUUUCUGUCAAUGGGACAGUCACACAGCCUUGGUUUCUGAAGCUGAAACGGACCCUGCACCCGCACCAAUGAGCAGUGACUGUUAGCCACCCUGAACCCUUGGUGGGUCUUUCCUGGUGAGGCACAGAACCGAACUGCGUUGCCUGAAGCCAGAGAAACACCCUCUCCGUCCUUUGUGCUCCGCCAUGGCGCUGGGAGGGGUCAGCACAGCCUCAGGGCCAAGCGUUCGUGCCUCUAAAGCGAUCCCCUCAAAGGAGACUCACUUCAGAGUUCUUUGGACUUCAUCUUCAAAAGUGGCCAAAUAGCCCCGGCUGGUGUGGCUCCGUGGACUGAGCACUGGCCUGCAAACCAAAGGGUCGCUGGUUCAAUUCCCAGUCAGGUCACAUGCCUGGGUUGUGGGCCAGGUCCCCAGUAGGGGACGCAUGAGAGGCAACCACACAUUGAUAUUUCUCUCCUUCUUUCUCCUCUUCCUCUCUCCUCUCUCAAAAAAAACUAUUUUUAAAAAUAAAAAGAAAACUAAA